This 447-nucleotide ribosomal RNA is filed under the name uncultured bacterium. Its description in RNAcentral is "bacterial SSU rRNA". It matches the Rfam family "Bacterial small subunit ribosomal RNA", at positions 355 to 825 of the family's 1533-position model. The record is from RNAcentral.
UAACGAAUAUUCCGCAAUGGACGAAAGUCUGACGGAGCAAUGCCGCGUGCAGGAUGAAGCGGUUUCGCCGUGUAAACUGCUGUCAGGGGCAGGAAAAACUGAUCCGCCCCAAAGGAAGAGACGGCUAACCCUGUGCCAGCAGCCGCGGUAAUACAGGGGUCUCGAGCGUUGUUCGGAUUUACUGGGCGUAAAGGGCGCGUAGGCGGCGUGGUAAGUCACUUGUGAAAUCUCCGAGCUUAACUCGGAACGGUCAAGUGAUACUGCUGUGCUAGAGUACAGAAGGGGCAAUCGGAAUUCUUGGUGUAGCGGUGAAAUGCGUAGAUAUCAAGAGGAACACCUGAGGUGAAGACGGGUUGCUGGGCUGAUACUGACGCUGAGGCGCGAAAGCUAGGGUAGCAAACGGGAUUAGAUACCCAAGUAGUCCCUGAGCGGGCUGGCAAGGCGCAU